This is a long non-coding RNA of Chenopodium quinoa (quinoa), 679 nucleotides long. RefSeq lists it as uncharacterized. NCBI's taxonomy places the organism in Eukaryota, Viridiplantae, Streptophyta, Magnoliopsida, Caryophyllales, Amaranthaceae. The transcript is spliced from 2 exons. The record is from RefSeq and is a predicted model, not a curated record.
AGUAAUUCUAGCCUAUUUUCUAAACCUAAAACCGAACCCGACUAAAUCGAUGUCGGGUCCGAAACUAAAUGCCCGGUUAUAUAACUCACCCCUUGCGUUUAAACCAGUCCAUUUUUCCAGUUCUGGAAGCUGCCAACAUCAAAAAGGAGAGAGAGACGAACACACAGAGAGAAGAAAUUAGGUCGAGUGGAAAGCAAAAUGAAGGAGACUACAAGAAACAAGGAAGAAGAAGAGAGAGAAAAGGUUUGCAAGAGAUGCAAAUCAAGCUUCAACCCUUGUUCAAACACCCCUUCUUCCUGCCGUUUUCACCCUUCUUUCUUCGUUUGUCGUCGUCACGAUGAUCAGAAGAGAUAAAGUUGGCUGAGCAGUACUGCACCAAUGAUUGCUUUUAUAAUGCCUGGUGAGAAUGCAAUGUUAAAUCAGCUAUACUGAAUUACCGAUGAUGAAUGAUGAUGAAUGAUGAUGAAUGAUGUACAUUGUAUGCCAGACAGCUCUAAGUGCAUAUGGUUUGAUGUAUACCUCACAUGAAUGUAUAUGCGAUAAGUAAUAGAUUUUCACUAAUUUGUAAUCUAAAUUUCUCUGUAAUUUACAGUCCUUCAAUGUAUAUAGCAGUUGCAAGAAUGGAUUUUGUUACCGUUUUUGUUAGUUCAAAGUAUAUAAUAGGGAAAUUUGUCCAUCA